RNAcentral lists this ribosomal RNA (247 nucleotides) under uncultured bacterium. RNAcentral describes it as "partial 16S ribosomal RNA". It matches the Rfam family "Bacterial small subunit ribosomal RNA", at positions 523 to 769 of the family's 1533-position model. The record is from RNAcentral.
AUACAGAGGGUGCAAGCGUUAAUCGGAUUUACUGGGCGUAAAGCGUGCGUAGGUGGUCUUUUAAGUCGGAUGUGAAAUCCCUGAGCUUAACUUAGGAAUUGCAUUCGAUACUGGGAGACUAGAGUAUGGGAGAGAAUGGUAGAAUUCCAGGUGUAGCGGUGGAAUGCGUAGAGAUCUGGAGGAAUACCGAUGGCGAAGGCGACUUACUGGACUGUAACUGACGCUGAGGCUCGAAAGCAUGGGUAGC